AUACGGAGGGUGCAAGCGUUACUCGGAAUCACUGGGCGUAAAGCGCGCGCAGGCGGCUAUUUAAGUUGGAUGUGAAAGCCUACGGCUCAACCGUAGAACUGCAUCCAAAACUAUUUAGCUAGAGUGUGGGAGAGGAAGAUGGAAUUAGUUGUGUAGGGGUAAAAUCCGUAGAGAUAACUAGGAAUACCAAAAGCGAAGGCAAUCUUCUGGAACACUACUGACGCUAAGGCGUGAAAGCGUGGGGAGCAAACAGGAUUAGAUACCCUAGUAGUCC
RNAcentral lists this ribosomal RNA (274 nucleotides) under uncultured bacterium. Its description in RNAcentral is "partial 16S ribosomal RNA". It matches the Rfam family "Bacterial small subunit ribosomal RNA", at positions 523 to 796 of the family's 1533-position model. The record is from RNAcentral.